UAGGGAAUCUUCCACAAUGGGCGAAAGCCUGAUGGAGCAACGCCGCGUGUGUGAUGAAGGGUUUCGGCUCGUAAAACACUGUUGUAAGAGAAGAAUGACAUUGAGAGUAACUGUUCAAUGUGUGACGGUAUCUUACCAGAACGGAACGGCUAAAUACGUGCCAC
RNAcentral lists this ribosomal RNA (164 nucleotides) under uncultured bacterium. RNAcentral's name for it is "partial 16S rRNA". It matches the Rfam family "Bacterial small subunit ribosomal RNA", at positions 355 to 511 of the family's 1533-position model. The record is from RNAcentral.